This 311-nucleotide ribosomal RNA is filed under the name uncultured bacterium. RNAcentral describes it as "bacterial SSU rRNA". It matches the Rfam family "Bacterial small subunit ribosomal RNA", at positions 471 to 781 of the family's 1533-position model. The record is from RNAcentral.
GACGGUACCUGAGGAAUAAGCACCGGCUAACUUCGUGCCAGCAGCCGCGGUAAUACGAAGGGUGCAAGCGUUAAUCGGAAUUACUGGGCGUAAAGGGUGCGUAGGCGGUUCGUUAAGUCUGUCGUGAAAUCCCCGGGCUCAACCUGGGAAUGGCGAUGGAUACUGGCGAGCUAGAGUGUGUCAGAGGAUGGUGGAAUUCCCGGUGUAGCGGUGAAAUGCGUAGAGAUCGGGAGGAACAUCAGUGGCGAAGGCGGCCAUCUGGGACAACACUGACGCUGAAGCACGAAAGCGUGGGGAGCAAACAGGAUUAG